CGGGCCCUGUUUGCCUGGCGGAAGUCUGGAGCCACCCUCCGUGUCCAUCAGGAGGGGAAGGGACUAACACCUACCCAAGUGCCACAGGGUCUCUCAAAAGACCAAAACCCUUUCACACGCGGUGACGCGGAACUGGAUUGUGCAGCGGCCGUGAGAGAGAGCAAGGGCCCAGAGCCGGGCGCACAGGCAGGUCCUUCCUGUGCGAAGGGUUAGGGUGGGCCAUCCCUCCACGUGCCUGUGUAGGUACAGAACGUUCCUGGAAGCAUCCCCCCCGCCCCCGCCCCCGCCCCCGGCGUCUGGAAACGCUCGCUUCCCCUGGGUCGGCAGUUGGGAGGCCGCAGAUUCAUUUCACACAGCUCGUGCCUUCCGAACGACUUCCCACCGCGGUGCUGUGAUGUUACAGAAAUAGCGUUACGAAGAUUCAUGGCAUUUCAGCAGACUUUGCCUGUGUUACAGGCCAGACGGAGAUACCGUGUGAGCCAUGCGAGAGCUGCCCCUACAGAGUGGGCCAGGAGAAAGCAGCUUCCACGGGAAGCCGUUCUAAGGGCGUCACUAGGCGAAAAAGGUGAGGUGCUGUUCUCCGUGAUCUCUAACCGAAGGCAAAAGGCUUCCCGAUGUGUCCCCUAGAACCCCAAAGUUCUGGGAAAGCUGAGUGGAGUCCCAGGAGAGGGUGUUGAACAAGCCGACUUGGCCUUUGAGUGCUUCUGAGAAACGAGUGGCAUUUUCAUAUUUAAGUUCUCGAAGCGAUUUGAUUUCAGGAAAUAGUAUCUGUGGCCGCCGACGGCAGGAGGGGCAGGCCCCGUGAAGCCGUGAAGCCACGGAGACAGAGGCGGCGUACCAGGAAAGGACUGGACUCAGGCCGCCUGCCCUUCCCGGCUGAGGAAGCCUGGAUUACAUUUGAGCUGGAGGCUGGAUUUGAAUCAUAUUUGCAGAUGAUGCAAAAAUCUUUGUGGGUGUUUAUAUUCCUCCAGAGGGAGGUUGAAGGCAGAACGCCUUUGAGAAGCUGGAAAAAAGGCCAAGCAGGAUAACACAGAACAGUGUUUCCUAUUCUUACAACUGCCAAAUCCUGAAGUAGAUGAAAUAUUACUUACCAUUUUUCUUUAACUGAUGUAGUUAAAAAAAAACUAUAAUAGUUUCAUCUGGAGAAAUAAUAUCCACGGUUCUGAUGAGUUAGUGAUAUGCGUAUGUUUCAAACUCACAUAAAUAUUUAAUAGAUGCUAAAAUUUAAAAUGCACACACACACACAACCUCAUCUGCGUACCACCUACAAUAAUAUUGCAAACCAGCAGUGGUGUCUCUAUUAAGCGUGUUUAAAUGCUGGGUGUCAGACUCUGAGGGUUGCCUGGCCAAUGGCCAUGCCUCCCCUCCUUCCUGCUGACACCCUGAGUUUUAUCUGCGGCCCUGGGAAAUAAGCCACACUUGGUUUAAGGGAGUCAUGUCCAUUGUGCUCUCCCUGACCUGUGAUGGGCCCAGGAGCGGCCAUGUGACCCAGGUCUGGCCAAAGGGAAACUGCUGGGGGGAUUCUGGGAAGCAUUUCCUCUCUGAUAAGAAAGAGGCACACGGAGAGAGACGUAUUUGCCUCUUUCCCUUCCUUCCUGCUUCGGACAUUGUUGUGUGACGUGAUGAGUGAGCUGUGACCGUCACUUUGUGACAUUAGGUGACCAGCCUAGGGACAAGCUAGUGACUCGCUGAUGGCGAUGGUGGGAAAGGAGAGUGCAAAGAGCCUUGGUCCUUUAUGAAGUCUCCGGAUGCCAAAUACACCCCUGAGUCUCUACGUGCCAGGUGCCUUCUCAGUCAGCGACAAGCGUGGCCACAGCCUGAACGACCCUGACAGGGCCCAUCGGUCUUGGGCACCGGCACCCUUGGGCGCUCGACUUGACUUUCCCCAGCCUUAGUUUGCUUGUCCGUAAAAGCACUAAUAGUAAUACUACUCAGACAGUGAUUUUUGAGGACAGAGAAAUUUAAAUUCACAUCGCGCACUUAGCAUAAGUGCUGCCGUUGCUAUGAUUGCGAUUCUUAUUGAUUAUUGUCUCUAUAAUAUUUAGAGAAUCCUCUAAAAACAGGGGGAAAGGCAACAUGGACAGAGACAGGAAGUUGAUGGCACCUAAUUAAAGGCCACCAGCUGGGCACAGAAAGAGCAGAAAAUGAUGCGAGUGUCAAGAGCUGACUGAAAGCUGCUGUGGAUGAGUCAGAGCUUCAGUAAACAUGGAAGCCCGAGGGUGGGGGCGUGGGGGGUG
Artibeus jamaicensis (Jamaican fruit-eating bat) is the source of this 2237-nucleotide long non-coding RNA. RefSeq lists it as uncharacterized. Lineage: Eukaryota; Metazoa; Chordata; Mammalia; Chiroptera; Phyllostomidae. The transcript has 4 exons. The record is from RefSeq and is a predicted model, not a curated record.